This 1312-nucleotide small RNA is filed under the name Pongo abelii (Sumatran orangutan). RNAcentral's name for it is "processed transcript". Lineage: Eukaryota; Metazoa; Chordata; Mammalia; Primates; Hominidae. The record is from RNAcentral.
UUUCUCGGUUCAACAAACUUCGAGUUGUGGUGGCCGAUGACGGUUCCGAAGCCCCGGAAAGGCCUGUUAACGGGGCGCACCCGACCCUCCAGGCCGACGAUGAUUCCUUACUGGACCAAGACUUACCUUUGACCAACAGUCAGCUGAGUUUGAAGGUGGACUCCUGUGACAACUGCAGCAAACAGAGAGAGAUACUGAAGCAGAGAAAGGUGAAAACCAGGUUGACCAUUGCUGCCGUUCUUUACUUGCUUUUCAUGAUUGGAGAACUUGUAGGUGGAUAUAUUGCAAAUAGCCUAGCAAUCAUGACAGAUGCACUUCAUAUGUUAACUGACCUAAGCGCCAUCAUACUCACCCUGCUUGCUUUGUGGCUAUCAUCAAAAUCACCAACCAAAAGAUUCACCUUUGGAUUUCAUCGCUUAGGCUGGAAUACAAUGACACCAUCAUAGCUCACUGCACCCUCGAACUCCUGAGUUCCGGAAAUCUUACCCUCACAGCCUCCAGAGUAGCUAGGACUGCAUGCACAUACCACCAUACCCAGCUAAUUUUUUAAUUUUUUGUACAGACAUGGUCUUGCUUUGUUGCCCAGGCUGGUCCUGAACUCCUAGCUUCAAGCUAUCCUUCCAUCUCAGUCUCCCAAAGUGAUGAGAUUACAACCAUAAGCCACUGCACCAGGCCUGAUGAAUGGAACCUUUUAAAGUCACUAAUAGUCCAGGCACUGUGGCUCAUACCUCUAAUCCCAGCACUUUGGGAGGCCAAGACAGGAGGAUCACUUGAGCCCAGGAGUUGGAGACCAGCCUGGGCAACAUAGGGAGAUCCCGUCUCUAUAAAAAGAAAAAUUAGCAGAUGUGGUGGCACACGCCUGUGGUCCCAGCUACUUGGGAGGCUAAGAUAGGAAGAUUGCUUGGGUCCAGGAGGUUGAGGCUGCAGUGAGCCAUGUUUGGGCCGCUGCACUCUAGCCUGGGUGACAGAGCAAGACCCAGGCUGGGCAUGGUGGCUCACGCCUGUAAUCCCAGCACUUUGGGAGGCCAAGGCGAGCAGAGCACCUGAGGUGGGAGUUCGAGACCAGCCUGACCAACAUGGAGAAACCCCAUCUCAACUAAAAAUACAUGUGGCACAUGCUUGUAAUCCCAGCUACUCAGGAGGCUGAGGCAGAAAAAUCGCUUGAACCCGGGAGGUGGAGGUUGCGGUGAGCUGAGAUCGUGCCAUCGCACUCCAGCCUGGGCAACAAGAGCGAGACUCCGUCUCAAAAAAAAAAAAAAAAAGUAAAAAGUCACUAAUAUAUAAUAUAUAAUGAACAAUUGUUUUUACAAUG